RNAcentral lists this transfer RNA (73 nucleotides) under Camelus bactrianus (Bactrian camel). It matches the Rfam family "tRNA". Rfam says of the family: Transfer RNA (tRNA) molecules are approximately 80 nucleotides in length. Their secondary structure includes four short double-helical elements and three loops (D, anti-codon, and T loops). RNAcentral also lists the same sequence under 2 other names. The record is from Rfam by way of RNAcentral. Lineage: Eukaryota; Metazoa; Chordata; Mammalia; Artiodactyla; Camelidae.
GAGGGUAUAGCUCAGUGGUAGAGUGUGUGCCUAGCAUGCACAGAGGUUAUGGGUUUAAUACUGGUUACCUCCA